RNAcentral lists this ribosomal RNA (377 nucleotides) under uncultured organism. RNAcentral describes it as "bacterial SSU rRNA". It matches the Rfam family "Bacterial small subunit ribosomal RNA", at positions 526 to 896 of the family's 1533-position model. The record is from RNAcentral.
CGUAGGGGGCAAGCGUUGUUCGGAAUUACUGGGCGUAAAGGGCGCGUAGGCGGCACGGCAAGUCAGGAGUGAAAGCCCGGGGCUCAACCCCGGAAUGUCUUUUGUAAACUGCCGAGCUAGAGUGCGGAAGAGGCAACUGGAAUUCCCAGUGUAGCGGUGAAAUGCGUAGAUAUUGGGAAGAACACCUGAGGCGAAGGCGGGUUGCUGGGCCGACACUGACGCUGAGGCGCGAAAGCCAGGGGAGCGAACGGGAUUAGAUACCCCGGUAGUCCUGGCCCUAAACGAUGGAUACUUGGUGUGUGGGGUUCGUCAAAGUCCCCGCCGUGCCGGAGUCAACGCGUUAAGUAUCCCGCCUGGGGAGUACGGUCGCAAGGCUG